GGUUGGAUGGCCGAGCGAUCCAAGGCGCCAGACUAAGGAUCAGCUUCACUUGAAGCAAAAUUUACAGACCCGUCUGUAAUCUGGUCCUCCGGGGCGUGGGUUCGAAUCCCACUCCAAUCA
Molecule: non-coding RNA, 120 nt
Organism: Mycena galopus ATCC 62051
Lineage: Eukaryota; Fungi; Basidiomycota; Agaricomycetes; Agaricales; Mycenaceae
Source: the annotation of a GenBank genome assembly